UACGUAGGGUGCGAGCGUUAAUCGGAAUUACUGGGCGUAAAGCGUGCGCAGGCGGUUUUGUAAGCCAGAUGUGAAAUCCCCGGGCUCAACCUGGGAAUGGCAUUUGGGACUGCAAGGCUGGAGUGUGGCAGAGGGGACUAGAAUUCCUGGUGUAGCAGUGAAAUGCGUAGAUAUCAGGAGGAAUACCGAUGGCGAAGGCAGGUCCCUGGGUUAACACUGACGCUCAUGCACGAAAGCGUGGGGAGCAAACAGG
Molecule: ribosomal RNA, 253 nt
Filed under: uncultured bacterium
Lineage: Bacteria
Also listed under: 1 other name
Description: partial 16S ribosomal RNA
Rfam family: Bacterial small subunit ribosomal RNA
Source: RNAcentral